CUGCUCCCUAGCCCUAUACCACUUCACAGACUCUAGUCUGGCAAAUCUACUCUGCUUAAGCCAUUCUCCAGCAGAAUUAUAGGCCUAUCUGAAAUCGAAUACCUCUGUUAAAAUUAAACAUAAAAUAAUAACCAGAUCGAAAAGACAUUUUAGGUCAACUUAAUCUUCUUCCCUCUCUCUUUGCAAAGCCAGGAGUUGGUGAGGGGACAUUACGAACUUAGUGACUGACGUCCUUAAAGCAACUGCGGUGGAACGAGCUCUGUCUACAGAACCGCGGGCU
Molecule: long non-coding RNA, 280 nt
Organism: Sapajus apella (tufted capuchin)
Lineage: Eukaryota; Metazoa; Chordata; Mammalia; Primates; Cebidae
Exons: 3
Source: RefSeq, a predicted model, not a curated record